AGUAUCCGGUACGAUAUCCGGACGCGUGUAAUAUUGUUGACAUACUUUUAUCGAUUCGGUUUACGAAAUGAAAAUAAUUCACCGGGAAUUCGUGGCAAUCAAGCUCAAGCUGAUACAGGACUGCUUCAAUACAGAUGAAUUAAAAAGCCCACCCAUCACGCACAUAUUUGCUCCAUGGGGGAUUGCAUUAUCAUCUCCACGCCGACGACUUACUUAACCAUUCAUAACUCAACCGGGAGCGAGAUGGAAAGCGAAACAAGCGCUUUGCAGUUGAGAAGGCACACCACGCCGAUGCUACAGUACAUACGAUGCUCUUCGCGGCGUUUUAUGAAUGAAACCUGCUUGCUAGCAUAACAUCCCGGGGCACAGCUGAAGCUGCAGCCGGCAGCACACGACAAAAGAACAAGACAUUCCCAUUCGGUCGGUCACUACGGCACAUCUUCCCUGGGGUCUUCCUUCAAGUGCUGCGCGGUACACAAUCACCUCUUCGUAAUCAACAACGGACAGAGGCCCGAGAUAAGUCAGCGAAGAGCCAUGCUGAAAGCUGACAUAAGGGGGGAGAGUGGAGCAUGGGGGAAGGGGGGAUGGGGCAUCCUGAGCGGGGAGCAUAGUCCACAUGUUUAGAACGAUGCAAGG
Anopheles darlingi is the source of this 636-nucleotide long non-coding RNA. RefSeq lists it as uncharacterized. The record is from RefSeq and is a predicted model, not a curated record. Lineage: Eukaryota; Metazoa; Arthropoda; Insecta; Diptera; Culicidae. The transcript is spliced from 3 exons.